UACGGAGGGUGCAAGCGUUAAUCGGAAUUACUGGGCGUAAAGGGUGCGUAGGUGGUUAAUUAAGUUAUCUGUGAAAUCCCCGGGCUCAACCUGGGCAGGUCAGAUAAUACUGGUUAACUCGAGUGUGGGAGAGGGUAGUGGAAUUUCCGGUGUAGCGGUGAAAUGCGUAGAGAUCGGAAGGAACACCAGUGGCGAAGGCGGCUACCUGGCCUAACACUGACACUGAGGCACGAAAGCGUGGGGAGCAAACAGG
RNAcentral lists this ribosomal RNA (253 nucleotides) under uncultured bacterium. RNAcentral describes it as "partial 16S ribosomal RNA". It matches the Rfam family "Bacterial small subunit ribosomal RNA", at positions 524 to 776 of the family's 1533-position model. The record is from RNAcentral.